RNAcentral lists this ribosomal RNA (253 nucleotides) under uncultured bacterium. RNAcentral describes it as "partial 16S ribosomal RNA". It matches the Rfam family "Bacterial small subunit ribosomal RNA", at positions 524 to 776 of the family's 1533-position model. The record is from RNAcentral.
UACGUAGGUGGCAAGCGUUAUCCGGAAUUAUUGGGCGUAAAGCGCGCGCAGGCGGUCCUUUAAGUCUGAUGUGAAAGCCCACGGCUCAACCGUGGAGGGUCAUUGGAAACUGGGGGACUUGAGUGCAGAAGAGGAGAGCGGAAUUCCACGUGUAGCGGUGAAAUGCGUAGAGAUCGGGAGGAACACCAGAGGCGAAGGCGGCGACCUGGACAGGUACUGACACUCAACUACGAAAGCGUGGGGAGCAAACAGG